This is an RNA transcript of Hippocampus zosterae (dwarf seahorse), 1797 nucleotides long. It is a transcript of the gene named interleukin enhancer-binding factor 2 homolog, with no coding region annotated. The transcript is spliced from 16 exons. Lineage: Eukaryota; Metazoa; Chordata; Actinopteri; Syngnathiformes; Syngnathidae. The record is from RefSeq and is a predicted model, not a curated record.
AUCUUUCCGACGCCCGUAAAAUACAAGAAAAAUAAACAAGGGGGUAGUCGUCGCCACUAGCCAGCCAAUCCUUGGUAGUGGAGACGUUCAUCAAAUUUUCUGCAUAUUUUUUCCGUUUCUUUGCCAAAACGUCGUACGCAAUGAGAGGGGACCGCGGCAGGGGUCGAGGAGGCCGCUUUGGGUCCCGCGGAGGACUCGCCCAGGGGUACCGUCCAUUUGUUCCACACAUACCAUUUGAUUUUUACGUGUGUGAGAUGGCCUUCCCCAGAGUGAAGCCCGCGCCCGAUGAGAGUGCGUUCAGCGAGUGUCUGCUGAAGAGAAAUCAAGACCUGAGCCCGACAUCGACGGAACAGUCCUCCAUCUUGUCCCUGGUCACCAAGAUCAACAACGUCAUCGAUAACCUGAUUGUUGCCCCUGGGAACUUUGAAGUGCAAAUCGAGGAGGUGCGUCAGGUGGGCUCUUACAAGAAGGGGACCAUGACAACCGGCCACAACGUCGCGGACCUCGUCGUGAUCCUCAAGAUUCUCCCGACAUUGGAGGCUGUCGCAGCCCUGGGCAACAAAGUCGUGGAUACUCUUCGCACGCAGGACCCGACCGAAGUGCUGUCCAUGCUGACCAACGAGACGGGCUUUGAGAUCAGCUCGGCGGACGCCACGGUCAAGAUCCUCAUCACCACCGUCCCUCCCAACCUGCGCAAACUGGACCCAGAGUUACACCUGGACAUCAAGGUGUUGCAGAGCGCCCUCGCGGCCAUCCGCCACGCCCGCUGGUUUGAGGAAAACGCUUCUCAAUCCACGGUCAAAGUGCUGAUCCGCCUCCUGAAGGACCUCAGGCUGCGCUUCCCCGGCUUUGAGCCUCUCACGCCUUGGAUUUUGGACUUGCUGGGUCACUCAGCGGUGAUGAACAAUCCAUCCAGGCAGCCACUGUCUCUAAAUGUGGCCUACAGGCGCUGCCUGCAGAUGUUGGCCGCCGGGCUCUUCCUGCCCGGCUCGGUGGGCAUCACUGACCCCUGUGAGAGCGGAAACUUCCGAGUGCACACGGUCAUGACUCUGGAGCAGCAGGACGCCGUGUGCUUCACCGCUCAGACGCUGGUGAGGGUCCUGUCACACGGGGGCUUCAGGAAGAUCCUGGGCCUGGACGGGGACGCCAGCUAUCUGGCCACGCAGAUGUCCGUUUGGGACGGUGUCAUCGUGACCCCUUCAGAAAAGGCCUAUGAGAAGCCCCCAGAGAAGAAGGAGGAGGAAGAGGAAACUCUCGAGGAGGGAGGGGACGCAGAGGAUGACAGCAUGGAAACGCAGGAUUGACAAGACGGAGCCUCGCUGGACAGGAGCACCGGCACGAAUCCACGGUCCCAAAGGGGGGGGGGGGUCCGCUGCAGUAGUUGUGAUGUUUUUUUUCUUCAUGUUUUUAUUUGAUGCUGUUAUUCUGAAUUACAUCUUUUUUUCCCAUUGUCUCUUGGGUUUUGUCAUGAUGAGGCAUACAUACCCCAGGACUUGAUCGGACAUUUUUUGUAUAUAUAUUUGUAUUUUCAGGAAAGUCCACUUUAUGUGAAAAAAAAACUUCUCCGUCAAUCUCAAUUUUCAUCCACUCAUAAUUUGCAUAACACGAUCGGUCGACAAGCAAAAUACAUGUCCAAAAUGGCCACCCGCCGGUAACAAAAUAAUCCAGUGCCAAAGAAGGAUGCACACACAAAGGGAGAGAACAUAGCAACAAAUGGAGGGCAAUUGCGCCAAACCUCCACAAUGGAGGCGGGGGCCACUAAAUCACGAGGGAAGCAUCAAAACGGAGCAGUAGGAA